Molecule: transfer RNA, 74 nt
Filed under: Sasia ochracea
Lineage: Eukaryota; Metazoa; Chordata; Aves; Piciformes; Picidae
Description: tRNA-Ser
Rfam family: tRNA
About the family: Transfer RNA (tRNA) molecules are approximately 80 nucleotides in length.
Source: RNAcentral
AAGAAAGAAGCAUAAGUGGUUUAAUGCGGUUGGCUUGAAACCAAAGUAUGAGGGUUCAAUUCCUUCCUUUCUUG